Molecule: ribosomal RNA, 148 nt
Filed under: Pseudoplatynematum denticulatum
Lineage: Eukaryota; Ciliophora; Oligohymenophorea; Philasterida; Cinetochilidae
Description: 5.8S ribosomal RNA
Rfam family: 5.8S ribosomal RNA
About the family: 5.8S ribosomal RNA (5.8S rRNA) is a component of the large subunit of the eukaryotic ribosome. It is transcribed by RNA polymerase I as part of the 45S precursor that also contains 18S and 28S rRNA.
Source: RNAcentral
AUUUUCAACGGUGGAUAUCUUGGUUCCCAUAUCGAUGAAGAACGCAGCGAAAUGCGAUACGCAAUGCGAAUUGCAGAAUUCCUCGAGUCAUCAGAUCUUUGAACGCAAGUGGCGCUGGUGUAACAGCCAAGCAUGUUUGUUUCAGUGU